UACGUAGGCAGCAAGCGUUGUUCGGAAUUACUGGGCGUAAGGAGUGUGUAGGCGGUGCUCCAAGUCUGGUGUGAAAUCUCCCGGCUUAACUGGGAGGGUGCAUUAGAAACUGGAAUGCUAGAGGAUGGGAGAGGUAAGCGGAAUUCCUGGUGUAGCGGUGAAAUGCGUAGAUAUCAGGAGGAACACCUGUGGUGUAGACAGCUUACUGGACCAUUUCUGACGCUGAGACACGAAAGCGUGGGUAGCAAACAGG
Molecule: ribosomal RNA, 253 nt
Filed under: uncultured bacterium
Lineage: Bacteria
Description: partial 16S ribosomal RNA
Rfam family: Bacterial small subunit ribosomal RNA
Source: RNAcentral